Molecule: ribosomal RNA, 491 nt
Filed under: uncultured bacterium
Lineage: Bacteria
Description: partial 16S ribosomal RNA
Rfam family: Bacterial small subunit ribosomal RNA
Source: RNAcentral
AGUGAACGCUGGCGGUAGGCCUAACACAUGCAAGUCGAACGGCAGCACAGUAAGAGCUUGCUCUUACGGGUGGCGAGUGGCGGACGGGUGAGGAAUACAUCGGAAUCUACUUUUUCGUGGGGGAUAACGUAGGGAAACUUACGCUAAUACCGCAUACGACCUACGGGUGAAAGCAGGAGAUCUUCGGACCUUGCGCGAUUGAAUGAGCCGAUGUCGGAUUAGCUAGUUGGCGGGGUAAAGGCCCACCAAGGCGACGAUCCGUAGCUGGUCUGAGAGGAUGAUCAGCCACACUGGAACUGAGACACGGUCCAGACUCCUACGGGAGGCAGCAGUGGGGAAUAUUGGACAAUGGGCGCAAGCCUGAUCCAGCCAUACCGCGUGGGUGAAGAAGGCCUUCGGGUUGUAAAGCCCUUUUGUUGGGAAAGAAAAGCAGCAGGUUAAGACCCCGCUGUUCUGACGGUACCCAAAGAAUAAGCACCGGCUAACUUCGU